UAGGGGGCAAGCGUUAUCCGGAUUUACUGGGUGUAAAGGGAGCGCAGGCGGUUCUGCAAGUCUGGUGUGAAAGCCCGGGGCCCAACCCCGGGACUGCAUUGGAAACUGCGGGACUUGAGUGUCGGAGGGGCAAGUGGAAUUCCUAGUGUAGCGGUGAAAUGCGUAGAUAUUAGGAGGAACACCAGUGGCGAAGGCGGCUUGCUGGACGACAACUGACGCUGAGGCUCGAAAGCGUGGGGAGCAAA
Molecule: ribosomal RNA, 245 nt
Filed under: uncultured bacterium
Lineage: Bacteria
Description: partial 16S ribosomal RNA
Rfam family: Bacterial small subunit ribosomal RNA
Source: RNAcentral